GAUGAACGCUAGCGGCAGGCCUAACACAUGCAAGCCGAGGGGCAUCGCGGUGCAGCAAUGCACUGGCGGCGACCGGCGUACGGGUGCGUAACGCGUAUGCAACCUGCCCCGCACCGGGGGAUAGCCCGCCGAAAGGCGGAUUAAUACCCCAUGGUCCCGGGGGCCCGCAUGGGCAUCCGGGUAAAGCCUUGGCGGUGCGGGAUGGGCAUGCGUGCCAUUAGCUGGCUGGUGGGGUAACGGCCCACCAGGGCAACGAUGGCUAGGGGGUCUGAGAAGAUGGUCCCCCACACUGGUACUGAGACACGGACCAGACUCCUACGGGAGGCAGCAGUGAGGAAUAUUGGUCAAUGGGCGGAAGCCUGAACCAGCCAUGCCGCGUGCGGGAUGAAGGCCCUACGGGUUGUAAACCGCUUUUCCCCGGGAAGAAUAACCCCGAUGAGUCGGGUGAUGCCGGUACCGGGGGAAUAAGGAUCGGCUAACUCCGUG
RNAcentral lists this ribosomal RNA (486 nucleotides) under uncultured bacterium. RNAcentral describes it as "bacterial SSU rRNA". It matches the Rfam family "Bacterial small subunit ribosomal RNA", at positions 28 to 507 of the family's 1533-position model. The record is from RNAcentral.